UGAUCAUGGCUCAGAUUGAACGCUGGCGGCAGGCCUAACACAUGCAAGUCGAGCGGCAGCACAGAGAAACUUGUUUCUCGGGUGGCGAGCGGCGGACGGGUGAGUAAUGCCUGGGAAAUUGCCCUGAUGUGGGGGAUAACCAUUGGAAACGAUGGCUAAUACCGCAUGAUGCCUACGGGCCAAAGAGGGGGACCUUCGGGCCUCUCGCGUCAGGAUAUGCCCAGGUGGGAUUAGCUAGUUGGUGAGGUAAGGGCUCACCAAGGCGACGAUCCCUAGCUGGUCUGAGAGGAUGAUCAGCCACACUGGAACUGAGACACGGUCCAGACUCCUACGGGAGGCAGCAGUGGGGAAUAUUGCACAAUGGGCGCAAGCCUGAUGCAGCCAUGCCGCGUGUGUGAAGAAGGCCUUCGGGUUGUAAAGCACUUUCAGUUGUGAGGA
This 438-nucleotide ribosomal RNA is filed under the name Vibrio vulnificus. Its description in RNAcentral is "bacterial SSU rRNA". It matches the Rfam family "Bacterial small subunit ribosomal RNA", at positions 14 to 448 of the family's 1533-position model. The record is from RNAcentral. Lineage: Bacteria; Pseudomonadati; Pseudomonadota; Gammaproteobacteria; Vibrionales; Vibrionaceae.